ACCCUUCUAGUAUAAGUAAUAUAUGUGACUUCCAAUCACUCGCUCUUGGUUAAAUUCCAAGGAAAGGUA
This 69-nucleotide transfer RNA is filed under the name Jenkinsia sp. CL54. RNAcentral describes it as "tRNA-Gly". It matches the Rfam family "tRNA". From Rfam's summary of the family: Transfer RNA (tRNA) molecules are approximately 80 nucleotides in length. Their secondary structure includes four short double-helical elements and three loops (D, anti-codon, and T loops). The record is from RNAcentral. Lineage: Eukaryota; Metazoa; Chordata; Actinopteri; Clupeiformes; Clupeidae.